UAGGCAUAGUAGGUGGUUGCUUUUGAUUACAAAAGAGGAAAGUCCGAGCUACAAAGACAGGAUUCCAUUUAACGAAUGGCUAGGGUAACCUAAGGGAAAGUGCAACAGAAAAUUACCGCCUUAUAGAAUCUUAAGAUCUUAAGGUAAGGGUGAAAAGGUGAGGUAAGAGCUCACCGGUCUUUCAGCAAUGUUAGGCGUCUAUGCAAACCCAAUUCGUAGCAAGAAGAAUAUGGUUAAAGUCUUAAGAUAAUAAAUUCUUCGCUUGAGAUAUGUUGUGAAACAUAUCCUAGAUAAAUAGCCACCCACGACAGAACUCGGCUUAUCGCUAUGCCUAUUUU
This 338-nucleotide RNase P RNA is filed under the name Helicobacter hepaticus. RNAcentral's name for it is "Bacterial RNase P class A". It matches the Rfam family "Bacterial RNase P class A". Rfam says of the family: Ribonuclease P (RNase P) is a ubiquitous endoribonuclease, found in archaea, bacteria and eukarya as well as chloroplasts and mitochondria. Its best characterised activity is the generation of mature 5'-ends of tRNAs by cleaving the 5'-leader elements of precursor-tRNAs. Cellular RNase Ps are ribonucleoproteins. The record is from RNAcentral. Lineage: Bacteria; Pseudomonadati; Campylobacterota; Epsilonproteobacteria; Campylobacterales; Helicobacteraceae. RNAcentral also lists the same sequence under 1 other name.